UACGUAGGGUGCGAGCGUUAAUCGGAAUUACUGGGCGUAAAGUGUGCGCAGGCGGCCGAGCAAGUCGAGUGUGAAAGCCCCGAGCUUAACUUGGGAGCUGCGCUCGAAACUACUUGGCUAGAGUGUGGCAGAGGGAGGUGGAAUUCCACGUGUAGCGGUGAAAUGCGUAGAGAUGUGGAGGAACACCGAUGGCGAAGGCAGCCUCCUGGGCCAACACUGACGCUCAUGCACGAAAGCGUGGGGAGCAAACAGG
RNAcentral lists this ribosomal RNA (253 nucleotides) under uncultured bacterium. Its description in RNAcentral is "partial 16S ribosomal RNA". It matches the Rfam family "Bacterial small subunit ribosomal RNA", at positions 524 to 776 of the family's 1533-position model. The record is from RNAcentral.